Heterocephalus glaber (naked mole-rat) is the source of this 1043-nucleotide non-coding RNA. The record is from RefSeq and is a predicted model, not a curated record. Lineage: Eukaryota; Metazoa; Chordata; Mammalia; Rodentia; Bathyergidae.
GUUUAACCUCUAAGAGGUCCCAAAGAGACUACCUUAACCGAAACUCCUCAAUGUGAGAGUGUUAGGAAAAAAGGCAGUCCAAACUGAAGCUUCUGCGGCUUUUUAUUGACAGAAGCCAGAAGCAAGAAGCAAGGAUAGAGGACCAGAGAAGGGUGUCUGUGCAGGAACUCAUGUAGGGCACAGGGGAAAGACAGGGUGGUCUGUUACAUGACUGACCUCAGGGCCAAAAUGAGUAAUAAAUCAGAGCAUGGGGACGACAAGGACCAGAGUAUUCAUUCCUUAAGAAAGGCAGAGUGAAGUCUUCUGCAGAUAACCCUUUACAGGAAAAUGACUACAGCACUGACAAGACAUUGUCAAAAAUCACAGUUUUGGAAACCUGGAAGUUAACCAAUGGCUUAUGACAUUCUAAGAAGCUCCUAAACCCAGACUGGAGAAAAACUAGAAAAUACACAUCAGAAAGAAUCUUCCAAAUACUGGAUACAUUGUGAAAGCUAACUUUUCUUCAUGAAGAUCACAUCUCAGCACAACUUCUUUUCACAACAUAAUCAUGUGUCUUAGUGUUCUGCACAGAAAAACAAAACAAAACAAGACUUGCUAUCAGAUGACGGUCAAUUCAUCAUCACUAAAUUCAGCUGCUUAUGUUUAAAAAUCUCCGUACAUGAAAAGGAUCCUCUAAAAACUCAGGGCAGCUUUUAAGUGUAAAGGAGACAAUUGCUGGUGUUAUGAUUUCAGAACCUUUUCUCUGCCAUAUGAGCCAAGAUGGUCUAACCUCCCAGAAGAUGGGAGAACAGAAGCAGACAUCAGCCUCCCAGCUUUGAUCCCUUAGACCAGGAGUCCCCAGUGUUUUUUGGCAUGACAAAGACAAUUUUUCUACGGAUAGCAGACAUUCCCAGGGGAGACAGCUAGAAUAUCGGAGAAAUAAAGAACUGUUUGAUGAUCUUUAGCUGAAACCUCAUUGACAAAAGAAGAUCUAGUGGGAUGAUGCCAGCAUGAUGACUAGUUCAGAUGAACAAAUGGGAAAUGAAUAACCUUAAAAAACUGUG